Long non-coding RNA from Mus musculus (house mouse), 1188 nucleotides. RefSeq annotates it as RIKEN cDNA 1700028J19 gene. The transcript has 5 exons. The record is from RefSeq and is marked predicted. NCBI's taxonomy places the organism in Eukaryota, Metazoa, Chordata, Mammalia, Rodentia, Muridae.
GGGGUUCCAAGAGGCUGCGGUUGGCCAUGGCCUCAGACACCACCGUAAGCCUUCCUGACUUGCUCUCUUCCUGGGAGGAGGACCGCAAGUUGGUCCUACGUGGCUGGUCCCUCACCUUCAUCUUCCUGGCAACUUUGUUGGUGUUCAGCGUGGUGGAUGGGCGGAUGGCCUAUGUGCAUGGUCCGUACACUGGUUUCAUCGGCCUCUGGAUUGACUGCAGGAGGCAUAAGUGUGUCAACGUGGGACAAUUCACUGUUUACAUUCACAUGAGCAAGGGCUUCAUAUUUCUGGCCCUGGCACUAUGCCUCAUCCUCCUGCCCACCAUGUUCCUCUCCUUUCGACCAGUCUGCCGCCGCCUGAAAACGAUAGACUUCAUCUUCAGUUUCCUCAGCAUUGUCAUCGUGCAGGACUCCUGAUUCUCCUCAGCCUGACUUUCUUUGUGGUCAACUGCAAUAGGCUGCGCCCGAGGCCACAGGAACUUUGUCCUUCCUCAACCAAGUGCGAACGUGGAGCUACAGUAUACCUUCCAUGGAGCGUAGGCUCAGCUACUUCCGUUGGGCCUCGAGACACCACUCAUUGCAUUUGCAGCAGCAGACCAUUAUGGACAGGAACUUGGAGUCUGUCCAGAAGUUGUCUGCUGUAACCAGCUUUGUGAACUCCCAUGGGGCUCUACAACAGAGUGAUUCCUCAACUACUCAGGGCACUGAUGAGUCCCCGUGGCCAGAUUCCUCCACCUCGGUUCCUGUGGCUCAGUUUCGAUCAGACCUCCCUUGAGGUGCCAUACUUCCCAUAAGAGCAGGUUGCACGCUCGGGACACAGGUGGCAAGCCCCGCUCCCGCGGUAGGUCCUACUCCUUGCUGCCUGAGUCUUGGUAGGGAUCCUUCUCUGGAACUUCUACAAUACUCUCAGCUGUGGCUAUGUCCCCAGCAGACACUGGUUUGUGGUCCCGAAAGCAGCAGCAGUGUAGCCCUUUUCCCAAGAUGGGCGUUGCCUCCCAUCCCUCAAUAGUCACUCUUCAUCCUUUGGUCCAGCCAUACCAGAGACAUCCCCUCCUGGGGCUCCAGGUGCACAGUCUGCAGCCUGGGCUGAGUCCCUGCCCUUCUGUGGACAGACUCUUCCCCAGGGAGUCAAGGUUUAAUUAACAUAACACCGCUGUCCAACUCAAUAAAACUUGGUCUGUAGUGUAAA